AAUAUAUUACAAAGGAUAUUUACGUAAUUACAUGUGUUCUCCAACAUAUUUCCGACAAGGUACUCUGACUCAAGGUUAGUUUGUACAUUCUUUUCAAAUCUAUAAUCAUUUAUUAUAAAUUCUCUUAAAAUAAUGGAUAUGAGAUGGGUCUUAAAUGAUCCAUAUAUAUCAGUGCUGAGGGGCUAAAACGCAUGGC
This 196-nucleotide small RNA is filed under the name Arabidopsis thaliana (thale cress). RNAcentral describes it as "ATSL178760". The record is from RNAcentral. Lineage: Eukaryota; Viridiplantae; Streptophyta; Magnoliopsida; Brassicales; Brassicaceae.